GAUGAACGCUGGCGGCGUGCCUAAUACAUGCAAGUCGAGCGAACAGACGAGGAGCUUGCUCCUCUGACGUUAGCGGCGGACGGGUGAGUAACACGUGGAUAACCUACCUAUAAGACUGGGAUAACUUCGGGAAACCGGAGCUAAUACCGGAUAAUAUAUUGAACCGCAUGGUUCAAUAGUGAAAGACGGUUUUGCUGUCACUUAUAGAUGGAACCGCGCCGCAUUAGCUAGUUGGUAAGGUAACGGCUUACCAAGGCAACGAUGCGUAGCCGACCUGAGAGGGUGAUCGGCCACACUGGAACUGAGACACGGUCCAGACUCCUACGGGAGGCAGCAGUAGGGAAUCUGCCGCAAUGGGCGAAAGCCUGACGGAGCAACGCCGCGUGAGUGAUGAAGGUCUUCGGAUCGUAAAACUCUGUUAUUAGGGAAGAACAAAUGUGUAAGUAACUAUGCACGUCUUGACGGUACCUAAUCAGAAAGCCACGGCUAACUACGU
RNAcentral lists this ribosomal RNA (496 nucleotides) under uncultured bacterium. Its description in RNAcentral is "partial 16S ribosomal RNA". It matches the Rfam family "Bacterial small subunit ribosomal RNA", at positions 28 to 506 of the family's 1533-position model. The record is from RNAcentral.